This 285-nucleotide ribosomal RNA is filed under the name Vicia faba (fava bean). Its description in RNAcentral is "partial 19S ribosomal RNA". It matches the Rfam family "Bacterial small subunit ribosomal RNA", at positions 1 to 277 of the family's 1533-position model. Lineage: Eukaryota; Viridiplantae; Streptophyta; Magnoliopsida; Fabales; Fabaceae. The record is from RNAcentral.
UGAGUUUGAUCCUGGCUCAGAAGGAACGCUAGCUAUAUGCUUAACACAUGCAAGUCGAACGUUGUUUUCGGGGAGCUGGGCAGAAGGAAAAGAGGCUCCUAGCGUGAAGGUAGCUUGUCUCGCCCAGGAGGUGGGAACAGUUGAAAACAAAGUGGCGAACGGGUGCGUAAUGCGUGGGAAUCUGCCGAACAGUUCGGGCCAAAUCCUGAAGAAAGCUAAAAAGCGCUGUUUGAUGAGCCUGCGUAGUAUUAGGUAGUUGGUCAGGUAAAGGCUGACCAAGCCAAU